UGAACGCUGGCGGCGUGCCUAACACAUGCAAGUCGUACGAGAAAUCUUUCGCUUGCGGAAGAGAGUAAAGUGGCGAACGGGUGAGUAACACGUGGGUAAUUUACCUCUGAAUUCGGAAUAACUUCGCGAAAGCGACGCUAAUACCGAAUGAUAUCCAGAGUACUUCGGUACAUUGGAUCAAAGGUGGCCUCUACAUGUAAGCUACUGUUUGGAGAUGAGCCCGCGCACCAUUAGUUUGUUGGUGAGGUAAAAGCUUACCAAGACUACAAUGGUUAGCUGGUCUGAGAGGAUGAUCAGCCACACUGGAACUGAGACACGGUCCAGACUCCUACGGGAGGCAGCAGUGAGGAAUCUUGCGCAAUGGGGGAAACCCUGACGCAGCAACGCCGCGUGAGUGAAGAAGGCUUUCGGGUCGUAAAGCUCUGUCAAGUGGGAAGAACCUGUUUAAUGUUAAUAUCAUUAGACACUGACGGUACCACUGAAGGAAGCACCGGCUAACUCC
Molecule: ribosomal RNA, 502 nt
Filed under: uncultured bacterium
Lineage: Bacteria
Description: bacterial SSU rRNA
Rfam family: Bacterial small subunit ribosomal RNA
Source: RNAcentral